GCAAACUUGGUCAUUUAGAGGAAGUAAAAGUCGUAACAAGGUCUCCGUAGGUGAACCUGCGGAGGGAUCAUUAACGAAUGGUCUUGGUACCUUCAAACCCCUCGAACCAGUGGACAUGAAAAAUGUGUUUCGGCGCUCCGGCGCCGUUUUUAUGCUGUAAUACCGUCUUUUGUGUCUGAAUGCAAAGCAAAGAUUCAAAACUUUCAACAAAGGAUCUCUUGGCUCUCUAGAGGAAGUAAAAGUCGUAACAAGGUCUCCGUAGGUGAACCUGCGGAGGGAUCAUUAACGAAUGGUCUUGGUACCUUCAAACCCCUCGAACCAGUGGACAUGAAAAAUGUGUUUCGGCGCUCCGGCGCCGUUUUUAUGCUGUAAUACCGUCUUUUGUGUCUGAAUGCAAAGCAAAGAUUCAAAACUUUCAACAAAGGAUCUCUUGGCUCUCGCAUCGAUGAAGAACGCAGC
RNAcentral lists this unclassified non-coding RNA (459 nucleotides) under uncultured fungus. Its description in RNAcentral is "partial contains small subunit ribosomal RNA, internal transcribed spacer 1, and 5.8S ribosomal RNA". The stretch from base 1 to 73 matches the Rfam family "Eukaryotic small subunit ribosomal RNA", at positions 1759 to 1831 of the family's 1831-position model. Lineage: Eukaryota; Fungi. The record is from RNAcentral.